This 618-nucleotide ribosomal RNA is filed under the name Thermomyces lanuginosus. RNAcentral's name for it is "eukaryotic LSU rRNA". The stretch from base 242 to 395 matches the Rfam family "5.8S ribosomal RNA". The record is from RNAcentral. Lineage: Eukaryota; Fungi; Ascomycota; Eurotiomycetes; Eurotiales; Trichocomaceae.
UUUCCGUAGGUGAACCUGCGGAAGGAUCAUUACCGAGUGCGGGAACCCAGUCGGGUCCCAAUCUCCCACCCGUGUCUACCACACCUAGUGUUGCUUUGGCGGGCCCACUCCUCCGGUGUUCCGCCGGGGGGGUCGUCCCGGGGCGCGGUGUGCCCCCGGGGCCCGUGCCCGCCAGAGGCACUCACUGUGAACGCUUUUGUGAAUGCGAGGAUUGUCUGAGUGACGAAAUGCAAUCGUUCAAAACUUUCAACAAUGGAUCUCUUGGUUCCGGCAUCGAUGAAGAACGCAGCGAAAUGCGAUAAGUAAUGUGAAUUGCAGAAUUCCGUGAAUCAUCGAAUCUUUGAACGCACAUUGCGCCCUCUGGUAUUCCGGGGGGCAUGCCUGUCCGAGCGUCAUUGCGAACCCUCAAGCACGGCUUGUGUGUUGGGCCGCCGUCCCCUCGUUUGGAGGGGACGGGCCUGAAAGGCAGCGGCGGCGUCGCGUCCGGUCCUCGAGCGUAUGGGGCUCUGUCACGCGCUCAAGGAGGGGUCCGGCCGGGGCCAUAGCCUCUGAAGGUCAAUUCUUCCAAGGUUGACCUCGGAUCAGGUAGGAGUACCCGCUGAACUUAAGCAUAUCAAU